RNAcentral lists this ribosomal RNA (253 nucleotides) under uncultured bacterium. RNAcentral's name for it is "partial 16S ribosomal RNA". It matches the Rfam family "Bacterial small subunit ribosomal RNA", at positions 524 to 776 of the family's 1533-position model. The record is from RNAcentral.
GACGUAGGGUGCAAGCGUUGUCCGGAUUUAUUGGGCGUAAAGAGCUCGUAGGCGGCUUGUUGCGUCGACUGUGAAAACCCGCGGCUUAACCGCGGGCUUGCAGUUGAUACGGGCAGGCUAGAGUUCGGUAGGGGAGACUGGAAUUCCUGGUGUAGCGGUGAAAUGCGCAGAUAUCAGGAGGAACACCGGUGGCGAAGGCGGGUCUCUGGGCAACUACUGACGCUGAGGAGCGAAAGCGUGGGGAGCGAACAGG